RNAcentral lists this transfer RNA (73 nucleotides) under Treponema sp. Its description in RNAcentral is "tRNA-Thr". It matches the Rfam family "tRNA". Rfam says of the family: Transfer RNA (tRNA) molecules are approximately 80 nucleotides in length. Lineage: Bacteria; Pseudomonadati; Spirochaetota; Spirochaetia; Treponematales; Treponemataceae. The record is from RNAcentral.
GCCAUCUUAGCUCAGUCGGUAGAGCGCGUGACUUGUAAUCUCGAGGUCUUCGGUUCGAUUCCGGAAGAUGGCU